AAAAAAUAAAAAAUGUAUGAGAACUAUAUUAUAGGGGCUAGAUUGCAAAAUUAGAAGUUUCAAGCAAUUAGAAAAGAUGUAUGUGCACAUUUGGUUGUUUAGGCCCAGCUUGAUAAUAACCUAAAAAUAAAGGAUCAAACAUGCAAAAACAUGAGAUUUGGCCAUUGUUGCUCAAGCUUCAUUAGCGACUGAAUCUUCAUUGCGCGACAGAAUCGGUGGCCACCGUAGCGGAAUUCGAGCAUCACCGACCACGACAAGCUGUUGUCACAGCCAAAAGGAGAAGAGUUGCAGACCACGACGUGGAGGAGGAAGCUGUUCAUGUUGAUUUUACGGCGGAGGAGAGACGAACCACCACAACUUGGAAAUCAAGCUUGCUUGAUAUUACCAGCGUUCAUGGAAGAGAACCAAAAAACACAUCGUAGAGGAGCAUAAUUUUUCAAAAAACAUAAAGUUGUGUUGUAAAUGGUGGUAGUGAAAGGAAGGAGGGACAAAAAGAAAGAGAUAACGAAAAAGAUAAAAUAUAUUAAAAAUAUCAUUUAGUUAGGAACCCUUUUU
This 555-nucleotide long non-coding RNA is filed under the name Brassica rapa (field mustard). Its description in RNAcentral is "long non-coding RNA (BRAP_LNC004848)". The record is from RNAcentral. Lineage: Eukaryota; Viridiplantae; Streptophyta; Magnoliopsida; Brassicales; Brassicaceae.